GGAGUCUGGGCCGUGUCUCAGUCCCAAUGUGGCCGUUCAUCCUCUCAGACCGGCUACUGAUCGUCGCCCCGGUGGGCCGUUACCCCGCCGGCAAGCUAAUCAGACGCCAUCCCCAUCCCUCAGCGAUGAAUCUUUGCUACUCGUUAGAUGCCCGCAAAGGAGAACAUAGGGCAUUAAUC
This 179-nucleotide ribosomal RNA is filed under the name uncultured Oscillospiraceae bacterium. RNAcentral's name for it is "partial 16S ribosomal RNA". Lineage: Bacteria; Bacillati; Bacillota; Clostridia; Eubacteriales; Oscillospiraceae. The record is from RNAcentral.